Anopheles coluzzii is the source of this 2181-nucleotide long non-coding RNA. RefSeq lists it as uncharacterized. Lineage: Eukaryota; Metazoa; Arthropoda; Insecta; Diptera; Culicidae. The transcript is spliced from 3 exons. The record is from RefSeq and is a predicted model, not a curated record.
GUUUCUCUCAGGCAGCAACGCCAGCAGGGCGUUUUGCUCGACACACCACACCGUAGAGGGAAUUUCUAGUUUUCUUUUAGAGCCAGUGAAAAAAGGGAAGAAAAAUCAGACAUCAGUUCUUGGAAGUUGAAACAACAAAAAUCCCAAAACACCCACCCAGGACAGGACAGGAGGGAUAGUCUCCUGUGUUUUAUUGUUCCCGUUUGUUUUGGGUUUUCCGUUUCCCUAGGAAAGGAAUUCUUCUGCUUUGGUUUGAUUCAGUUCUUCGAGUGUGUGCGUGCGUGUGUGCCUUUUUCCGUAUGGAUUGAGUUCCCUUACACUGUUUGUUAAAUAAAAAAAUAGGAGAAAGAGUGUAAAUUAACACAGCAACAAGAGCUCGCACCAGGCGGCAGAGUCCUGGCAGGAGCGUCACCCAUAACGGGGACACAAUCGAUCAAUAAAAAGCGAGUCUCCUGCUGUACAGCAAGACGGGGCUGUAUGUUCACAGUGAACGACGAGUGAAAUCUAGUACAACAGCGGGACGAGUAGUAGCAGAAGUAUAUUCUCCAUCACUCUGUGUGUGCGCUCUCUCCCUCUCUGCCAUCAUUACGUCGCGUCCGGUGUUUGUGGAAAGAAGGAAAUGGUGUCAGCGAAGAUGGUCGAACCGUUGAUAGUGCUUCUGGUUUAUUUUAAUUGUGAUUUAAUAUUUUACGUUAAAAAUAUCAAUAAACAUUAAAGUGUAUCGUGGGAACAGUGUGUUUACCUCCCUUUAAUCAAUACUACUACUAACUGCUGCUGCUACAACUACUACUACCGCCCACUACCCAUUCCGAAUAAGCUUACAACCCGUAUAGAGAAGCCAAAGCGGAUACGGUACGAGGGAAACCCUGAAGGUCAUCAGGGGAAUAUAAAAUAGACGACAUACUGCACAGUUGAUAGCGACUAAAAUCGCGUACAACGUGCUCUAAGAAAUCAAAGCAGCUUACAGCGGUGUGUGCGUGUCCGUUCCGCUUCGAACCGACUUAAGCUACAGUGGCUUAACGCACACAAACGCUGGCAGCCACUGGCAAACGUGACGCGAGCAAGCGAGACGGAAACGCUCAGGCACAAACGGUGCGAGAAGGAGGGAACGAGCCAAAACAAACACCAACAAGAGCCCGCGCCUCUCAGUGGCUGUGUGUGUAUAAGUGUGUGUGUGUAUAUUCGCGCGCACAUUGAACUCGCGGCUUUAUAAAUGCCUUCGCUUCCGCGAACGAAAACAAAGCAAUCGCAUUCGAGCGAUUGAGUCGAUCGGGUGUAUCUCCUGUGUGUAUCUUCAAGCCAAGUAGGCCUCGCUUGAGCAGGCCCCCCCGCAACCGAACAGUGCAGUACGAAAAAGUAGUUAUGUGUGUGAAGUGAGAAAAAAAAAACAAACAGGGAGUGAAGUAAUCUAAAUUUCGCUUUUUUCUGUCUGGUAGCUCAAAUCCGUUUGAGUCUACCGACCACAACCAAGCAGCGUCAAUGUACGCCAUACGUUGGACUACAGAGCGCUAAAAACGCACCCAAAAAAAAAACCCGUAAAACCUAACAGAACGCCCUAAAGCGUCUGUCGCGCGUGUUUGUGUUGUGAAGUUGUUUUGUAAUUCGUGGUGUGUGAGUGUGCGUUACAAACACCACCACCGUCGUCGUUUCUUUAUGUUUAAUCCAUUUUUUAACCGUGUAAUUUUGACGAAAAAGCGAAAGCCUAAAUUGUAAAGUAAACUUAAACUAAAGAAGAAAGACAGUCGAACAAACUGUUCUGGUUACAACUUUGGGACACGUAGUUACGUCCCGGAGAAAAAGACCUUUUUCCCCCUUGAAAGUAAGAGCAAAUUUCUGUUGAAAAGCACAACACAGAGAACCACAAGGAAGAGAACCAAGCGGAUUUCCUCGUUUUCAAUUUGCACCUACCGUCAAAACACCUUGAACGAGUUACGCACCAACGGGCAUCACUUUCGUGCUAAAGGUGGCCGAAAGGACAAUUUUCUUCACUGGGGCUUAGGCCGUUGUAUGGAGCGUGAAAAACCAUCGUUUAUAAAAGGGGACGAACCGGGCCUGGCUGGCAAGCAGGGCCGGAGCGAUCUUAUCUGUGCGAACAGCAACAGCAGCACCGUGAAAAUUGCUAGCGUUGAACGUCAAGAUGGCGCGUACGUACCGACCGUUGGCCGCUGGGGCAACGAGUGG